GACGAACGCUGGCGGCGUGCUUAACACAUGCAAGUCGAACGGAAAGGCCCUGCUUUUGUGGGGUGCUCGAGUGGCGAACGGGUGAGUAACACGUGAGUAACCUGCCCUUGACUUUGGGAUAACUUCAGGAAACUGGGGCUAAUACCGGAUAGGAGCUCCUGCUGCAUGGUGGGGGUUGGAAAGUUUCGGCGGUUGGGGAUGGACUCGCGGCUUAUUAGCUUGUUGGUUGGGUAGUGGCUUACCAAGGCUUUGACGGGUAGCCGGCGUGAGAGGGUGACCGGCCACAUUGGGACUGAGAUACGGCCCAGACUCCUACGGGAGGCAGCAGUGGGGAAUAUUGCACAAUGGGCGGAAGCCUGAUGCGGCAACGCCGCGUGCGGGAUGACGGCCUUCGGGUUGUAAACCGCUUUCGCCUGUGACGAAGCGUGAGUGACGGUAAUGGGUAAAGAAGCACCGGCUAACUACGUG
Molecule: ribosomal RNA, 468 nt
Filed under: uncultured bacterium
Lineage: Bacteria
Description: partial 16S ribosomal RNA
Rfam family: Bacterial small subunit ribosomal RNA
Source: RNAcentral